UCUAUAUGAGAGUUAUAUAAAGUCUGACCUGCCCAUUGGGAACUAAAAGGCCGCGGUAUUAUGACCGUGCGAAGGUAGCAUAAUCAUUAGUCUUUUAAUUGGGGGCUGGAAUGAAUGGUUGGACGAGAAGUAAGCUGUCUUUAUCUCAUGAAUUGAAUUUAACUUUUAAGUGAAAAGGCUUAAAUGAAUUAGAGGGACGAUAAGACCCUAUAAAGUUUUAUACAUGGAGUUAGUUAAGAGUAAUUUAGAGUAGUAAAGUUUAUUAUUAGCAAGAUGUUUGGUUGGGGCGACUGGAAUAUAAGUUAUAUAACUGUUUUUUAUUUAAGUCAGAAAUAUUUGUUUAUAAUGAUCCCUUUUUUGGAUUUAAGAGUAAAUUACUUUAGGGAUAACAGCGUAAUUUUUUUUGAGAGUUCUUAUCGACAAAAGAGUUUGCGACCUCGAUGUUGAAUUAAAAAUUUCUUUGUGGUGUAGUGGUUACAGAAGAAGGUCUGUUCGACCU
Molecule: ribosomal RNA, 499 nt
Filed under: Cherax pulcher
Lineage: Eukaryota; Metazoa; Arthropoda; Malacostraca; Decapoda; Parastacidae
Description: partial 16S ribosomal RNA
Rfam family: Bacterial large subunit ribosomal RNA
Source: RNAcentral